RNAcentral lists this transfer RNA (77 nucleotides) under Parapusillimonas granuli. RNAcentral describes it as "tRNA-Arg". It matches the Rfam family "tRNA". From Rfam's summary of the family: Transfer RNA (tRNA) molecules are approximately 80 nucleotides in length. Their secondary structure includes four short double-helical elements and three loops (D, anti-codon, and T loops). Lineage: Bacteria; Pseudomonadati; Pseudomonadota; Betaproteobacteria; Burkholderiales; Alcaligenaceae. The record is from RNAcentral. RNAcentral also lists the same sequence under 3 other names.
GCGGCAGUAGCUCAGCUGGAUAGAGCACGGGCCUUCUAAGCCCGGGGUCGGGGGUUCGAGACCCUCCUGCCGCGCCA